Molecule: ribosomal RNA, 490 nt
Filed under: uncultured bacterium
Lineage: Bacteria
Description: partial 16S ribosomal RNA
Rfam family: Bacterial small subunit ribosomal RNA
Source: RNAcentral
AUUGAACGCUGGCGGCAGGCCUAACACAUGCAAGUCGAACGGUAACAGGAAGAAGCUUGCUUCUUUGCUGACGAGUGGCGGACGGGUGAGUAAUGUCUGGGAAACUGCCUGAUGGAGGGGGAUAACUACUGGAAACGGUAGCUAAUACCGCAUAACGUCGCAAGACCAAAGAGGGGGACCUUCGGGCCUCUUGCCAUCGGAUGUGCCCAGAUGGGAUUAGCUAGUAGGUGGGGUAACGGCUCACCUAGGCGACUAUCCCUAGCUGGUCUGAGAGGAUGACCAGCCACACUGGAACUGAGACACGGUCCAGACUCCUAGGGGAGGCAGCAGUGGGGAAUAGUGCAAAAUGGGCGCAAGCCUGAUGCAGCCAUGCAGCGUGUAUGAAGAAGGCCUGCGGGUUGUAAAGUACUUUCAGCGGGGAGGAAGGGAGUAAAGUUAAUACCUGUACUCAUUGACGUUACCCGCAGAAGAAGCACCGGCUAACUCCGUG